Long non-coding RNA from Cebus imitator (Panamanian white-faced capuchin), 394 nucleotides. RefSeq lists it as uncharacterized. The transcript is spliced from 3 exons. Lineage: Eukaryota; Metazoa; Chordata; Mammalia; Primates; Cebidae. The record is from RefSeq and is a predicted model, not a curated record.
CGCCCAGCCUUCUGGGUCCGAGGCUCCCACCUGCGCUCAGCGCUUGGUAGCUAGGAGGGAAUGGGAGGAUGCUUGCGGGGUAGGGAGGCGAGGGUUGGAAAUUGGCAGAAUGAGAACUGGGGAAACUAGUCUGAGACGCAGCCCUGCUUGUCCCCCUUCUUCAUUCACCCCCAUGUUGAGGGCCUUGGCUUUUGCAUAAUGUGGGAGCUCCUGGAGAGGAGGGUGCUUCCCAGCAGCUCCUGUUCGACCCCCAGCCCCGGGCCAAGGGCACAGAGAGAGAACACCCUUUAAAAAAAUGUAUUUAAAGAGGCUGGUUCCUAUCCAUCCGACUGGAGGCAUCUCAGUGCAAGAGCAAAGCUAAGUCCUGCACAUACACCUCCCCUCCUCCUCCUCC